UUAGAAAACACAAAUGCUUUCAAAAUUUCCCUCACUCAUUUCAUUCCUAACUCAAUUGCCUUAGUUGAACAAAAGCAGAAAAGUUAGCAUAUUACUGCUGUUUUACCAUUUACCUGCUACUCAUUAAAUACCAUAAUACAAAUUUUAAAUGUGCAUUUAUUUUUUAUUUUGCCCUUUUAUUUUUCUAUAUCUCUUUUCCUCCCUAGGAAAUUUUUUUAAAAUUGAAAGAGGAAAUGCAUACGGAUUUGCUUCUAAGAUAUAUUAAUGUUGGAAAAUUUAACCAGGACAGCUUGGGAGUCUUAAAUCAGACUGAUUUUCAAAAAUAGAAAUAUGGUAAGGGGACUGCAUUGUAAUUCUGCUUUUCAGUUUUUCUAUGAGAGUUUUUUUGUGAGAAAUCAGGAGAUAUACUGUAUGUAAAAAUAAUCCUCCUGGCAUUCUUUAUAAAGAUUUUGUCUGUUUAUUUUGAAAACAGCCAUUGGUUCCAGAUUCCCAGAACUGAUUUUCUUAGAUUAGCUAUUUGUACUCAGAGGUAGAGCCUUGAGCAGUAUUAUUCUUCAAUUAAAAUCAAGAAUUUGACUUUAGGAGGAAGCAUGCUAUGUUUAUAUAGCAUCAGCAGUGCAUAGAAAAUAUUCACCACACAUAUCUGAAGACAGACAAGGCUUCAAUUGUUUAAAUGUUCUUUUCACUUCAUAGAUACUAAGACACAUUGACCUAUCUAGCUUAAUUUUCUUUAAGCUUGUUACCUACUUUAAUACUAAUGGCAUCUUAGAUACAGAGCUAAUGCUUCUUCCUUGUAACCACUGCCUUGACUUAGAGGUUAAAUUUCCUUUUGAAAGGUGUUGCAGACUAUGCCACCUCACUCUCAAAAUGUGCAUUUUCUGUAGAAACUCUGAAAGCUGCUGCUCUCUUCCACCAACCACACCAGCCCCCACCACUACCACACAAACAAAAAGCUGCAAAACUUAAGGGAACAUUACUAUACACUAAUGCUUAUAGUUUAAAUAUCUGUUUGAGAGGCAACUAAAGAUGUCACAGCUAUGUGGUUUUGAUUUUUUGUUUGUUUGUUUGUUUGUUUCACAGUCCCAUUGCCUUUCCCUGGUAUUUAGAUCAUUUGGAUAACUGGCAAGUCAAAUUAGAACUGAAGUGCUGCAAAGCAGCCAAAGCCAUGUCUUGUGGGUAGUGGUGGGGGCAGAGAAGAGAGUAUCUGAGUUUGUAAAAAUAUUUAAUAUAAAGUUAAAAAACAUCUAGAAAGUUGGUUUUACAGGCUUGCUAGUUGCAUGCUGCAGAUUUUGUAUCAGGGAUGCCAACUGACCAUCUCUAUGAAAGGUUAAAGAAUAUUUCACAGUUUUUUUUUUUUUUUUGAAGACUCUUAUGACAGUUUAACAGCUGGUAUCGGUAAAAACAUGUAGUCUAGGACUGUUUUUUUCCUUUAAGAUGCCAAAUACAUAUCAACUCGGAUUCUGAACCCCCCCCCCCAAAAAAAACCUAUGUAUCUAUUAUAAAUAAGCCAUGGCAUUUAAAAAGUUAUAAUCAAUUUUAAAUCCUAUAUUAAAAUAAAUAAUAUAGCAAAUUAAAUUUGCCUUGUGUUAAUCCAUCAAUGCUUCUAUUUGGACCUGCCUAUCUAUGUCAGUUCCAUAAAAGAUUUAUUUUCUAAGCUAGGGAGGGUGGGAAGGACAGGAGACCAGAUGGAGGGAGCUGGUAUACAUUUCCUUGCCUCUUUAUUAUAGUAAUACAGGGCCAGAAUCUAUCUUUCUACUUAUCUGUCUUUUUAAUGACAACUACUAAUGACAGUGAGAAAGGCAGAGCAGCCAAUAUCACCUAAUAGUAUUUUAAUUACAAUUAGGUAGCCUCAGGUGCUUAAGUGAGUGUUAAAUCUGAAGUUAACUCUUUUCCCUUUCAAAGAUAAGAUUGCUUGGGUUGGGUUUUUAGUUUUCGGUUUUUGUUAGUUUUUCCUUCUGCAUUUUCCUGUUUGGGGGGGGGCGGGUUGGGGGAAGAAUGUGAUUUUAAGAACAUUUUAAUGUUAUGGAAAGGGAAAACAGUGAGCACUUUCUCAAAAAAGGGGCGGUAGAGUGGGGAAAGACUCCCGGGUAGGAAAGCUAAAUUGGAGAACAAACCUUAUGGGGGAUUUGCUCUACCUGCUGCGAAAUGGGGUCUCAGCUGUCCAUUAACAAGUUAAAAGGAGAGAAGCCAAAGCUCAGAGGAGGAAGAGACUGGCGUCCUCGCGCCUCAAGCAGUCUCUUUCUCUUUGUUUUUAAAUGCUACUGCAGUGUUGUUCCUCGCUGUCUGAAAGGACCACAGCGCUUAAAAUACUGAUUGCCAUCCUCAGUGGGAGAACAGGUUUCCCAUUUCAUCAGUUGGAACGAAGUUUUGUGUGUAUACUCGGUUUAAAACACUAGAGAAAAUGCAGACUUUCCAGGGCAGCACUUUUUCACGGUAGACGUUGAGCCAACAAUUUGCCCACAAUUUUGGCUUUUCGGUCCUGGCUGACUUACCCAAAUCUUUAAAGAAUCUUCCUGGUGGAGCUAUUGGAUUCAAUGGGGGGAGGGGGAGGGGUCGUCACUAUGACCCUGAGUGGGCUCACAAGUUUCCACCUAAGGUCGCGGAGCAUACCUGGGGCACCCUUGGUGUGAACGGCCCCUGGGAGCGAAGUGGGCACACUAGUUCCGCUGGCUUCGGGCGGCUAGAGAAGGUAAUAUGGAUUAGUUGUUAGUUUUAUACUCCUGGGAAAAGCUCAGAAAAAGGAAAAAUACUGCAGAAAAAGCACUUGGGUCACCAGCGACUCUCCUCACCUUAACCCUGACACACCUGUUCCUGUCAAUGCCACUGACCCCACCAAAGAAGGGCAGAGCGUGCGCCGCGACAGCCCAGCUCGAAGCGCGCUGCGGGCCUUGGCCGGCUCCUUCCUGCUGGGCCCCAGGGCAGUGCGAGGGGAGGAGGCUGCCGCUCGCCCCAGGGACACCGGCCGGGGGAAAACGCCCGAACAGGCCCGGCCGAGGAAGCUGCACCCCCCGCCCCCGCCCCCACUCUCCGGCACUGCCCAAGACUCUAGAAACCAGGGCCGACGUCCUUGGCUGUUGACCUUCCAAAGAUAAGCAGGGGAAAGGGAGCCCUCUCUAGCGGGUAACCCUUCGCCGAAUGCACGGGUGAGGAGCCCAGGUUCGAGAACCAAGGCCCGGGCCGCAGGAAGCAAAGGAAACGGGCCAUACCUGAAGCGAGAAGGGCGGCGGGGCCUAGGCCGCCUCCCGACCAGGCUCUGGGGCCUGAGCCGGCUGCCCUGGGCUCAAAGCGCAGCGUCUGUGAACCGGGGAGCGCUCCCACCUGCUGCCGGGGGUGGCCGGGACCCUUCAUUCCGCCGCCACAGGGCUGGAUCCAACCCCGCGGUCGUGCGUCGGCACGGCUCAUGCCACAGCCUCCACGCUCUGGAUCUUCGAGGCCAGCCUGGCAGCCUCUGCUCUCAGCGGCUCUGCGGGCUGAGCCACCCGGCCCUGCGACUGGAACUGCGCUGUGAUGCGGCUCCCGGGAAGCGCGCAAUUCUCUGUGAAGCUGUGAAGCGGCUCCGCGACAGCGGCGGCGGGCGGAGAGCAGCGGGUCCCAGAAUCCCCGCACCUUGGGAGAGCGGAGUGACAAGAGCAGCCUCCGGAGACUGUGGGUAGCAGGAGAAGCUCCCCCGGUUUUCUGCAGUCGGAGACACGCGGAACCGAAGCCUCUGGCUCCCCAACCUGGAGUUCUGCUCGCAGACUUGCACCAAAUACCUCCAGGCCGGGGAGGCAGUAGGCGUGAAGUCCCCUUUAGUCGUAGCCACCGCUGCAGCUGCCGCCGCCGCGGCGGCGGAGCAGGGGAAGGGCCGCCCCGCGCGCGGUCAGUGCCAGGUGCUGGACUGGCCCUCGGGGUGCGGGGGAGAGCGGCGGGACAAGGGUCCCUGCUUAGCAAACUCAGGGUUUGCCCAUAAGCGCCGAUGCCGCUGCAUCUUCCUGGAAGCUUCCUCUUCAUCUCGCGGUCAAGACCAAGCUGUCCUUGCCUGGAGAAUAGUUCAAGAUCGGCGGCGCUCAGCCCCAGCGGCGCCUUUCUCCCUGCCUGCACUUGUGGGGCUUGGGGGCUCUUGAGUGCCUACCUGCUGAGCCAAGUUCAGGAACCGCCGGCCAAUCCCCUUGGCCUCUUGAGUAUUUAGAAAGCUUCGUUCUCAGCCAAGAGGUCAAGGCGAACAGGCAGUGAGAACCUGAACGAUCCUGUGUUCAGAUUUUAAAAGUCAAAAAUUUAAAAAUCGCCCUAGUGUAUUAUUUUUGUUUUCAUUUUACUUGGUCAAAUUGCGUAAGGUUUUACCCUACAAACUAUUUAUAAGCCGUUUUUUCAUUAUUUUUGGCUCUUGUUAUGAAACCUGUAAAAGAGAAAUCGAAAAGUGGCUUUUGGUUCAGUUAACUGCGACGCUGAGAAGGUAAAUAGAAGGUCCCUUAACAGCUGGUC
Molecule: long non-coding RNA, 4461 nt
Filed under: Sus scrofa (pig)
Lineage: Eukaryota; Metazoa; Chordata; Mammalia; Artiodactyla; Suidae
Description: lncRNA (ENSSSCG00060003980.1)
Source: RNAcentral